Molecule: ribosomal RNA, 497 nt
Filed under: uncultured bacterium
Lineage: Bacteria
Description: partial 16S ribosomal RNA
Rfam family: Bacterial small subunit ribosomal RNA
Source: RNAcentral
GAUGAACGCUGGUGGCGUGCCUAAUACAUGCAAGUCGAGCGAACAGACGAGGAGCUUGCUCCUCUGACGUUAGCGGCGGACGGGUGAGUAACACGUGGAUAACCUACCUAUAAGACUGGGAUAACUUCGGGAAACCGGAGCUAAUACCGGAUAAUAUAUUGAACCGCAUGGUUCAAUAGUGAAAGACGGUUUUGCUGUCACUUAUAGAUGGAUCCGCGCCGCAUUAGCUAGUUGGUAAGGUAACGGCUUACCAAGGCAACGAUGCGUAGCCGACCUGAGAGGGUGAUCGGCCACACUGGGGCUGAGACACGGUCCAGACUCCUACGGGAGGCAGCAGUAGGGAAUCUUCCGCAAUGGGCGAAAGCCUGACGGAGCAACGCCGCGUGAGUGAUGAAGGUCUUCGGAUCGUAAAACUCUGUUAUUAGGGAAGAACAAAUGUGUAAGUAACUAUGCACGUCUUGACGGUACCUAAUCAGAAAGCCACGGCUAACUACGUG